This 195-nucleotide ribosomal RNA is filed under the name uncultured bacterium. RNAcentral describes it as "partial 16S ribosomal RNA". It matches the Rfam family "Bacterial small subunit ribosomal RNA", at positions 1307 to 1500 of the family's 1533-position model. The record is from RNAcentral.
GCAACUCGCCUACACGAAGUCGGAAUCGCUAGUAAUCGCGGAUCAGCAUGCCGCGGUGAANACGUUCCCGGGCCUUGUACACACCGCCCGUCACACCAUGGGAGUUUGUAACGCCCAAAGUCGGUGGCCUAACCUUUAUGGAGGGAGCCGCCUAAGGCGGGACAGAUGACUGGGGUGAAGUCGUAACAAGGUAAC